This 253-nucleotide ribosomal RNA is filed under the name uncultured bacterium. RNAcentral's name for it is "partial 16S ribosomal RNA". It matches the Rfam family "Bacterial small subunit ribosomal RNA", at positions 524 to 776 of the family's 1533-position model. The record is from RNAcentral.
UACAGAGGGUGCAAGCGUUGUUCGGAAUUAUUGGGCGUAAAGGGCGCGUAGGCGGUGCCACAAGUCACCUGUGAAAUCUCCGGGCUUAACUCGGAGCCUGCAGGCGAAACUGUGGUGCUGGAGUGUGGGAGAGGUGAGUGGAAUUCCUGGUGUAGCGGUGAAAUGCGUAGAUAUCAGGAGGAACACCGGUGGUGUAGACGGCUCACUGGACCGUAACUGACGCUGAGACACGAAAGCGUGGGUAGCAAACAGG